ACCCGCACAAGCGGUGGAGCAUGUGGUUUAAUUCGACGAUACGCGAAGAACCUUACCUGGCCUUGACAUACUAAAAAGCUUUAAGAGAUUAGAGUGUGCUAGCUUGCUAGAAUUUAGAUACAGGUGCUGCACGGCUGUCGUCAGCUCGUGUCGUGAGAUGUUGGGUUAAGUCCCGCAACGAGCGCAACCCUCGUGUUUAGUUGCUAACAGUUCGGCUGAGAACUCUAAACAGACUGCCUACGCAAGUAGGAGGAAGGUGAGGACGACGUCAAGUCAUCAUGGCCCUUACGGCCAGGGCUACACACGUGCUACAAUGGGGUAUACAAAGAGCAGCGAUACGGUGACGUGGAGCAAAUCUAGAAAAUGCCUCUCAGUUCGGAUUGUAGUCUGCAACUCGACUACAUGAAGUUGGAAUCGCUAGUAAUCGUAGAUCAGCAAUGCUACGGUGAAUACGUUCCCGGGUCUU
RNAcentral lists this ribosomal RNA (466 nucleotides) under uncultured Arcobacter sp. RNAcentral's name for it is "bacterial SSU rRNA". It matches the Rfam family "Bacterial small subunit ribosomal RNA", at positions 919 to 1382 of the family's 1533-position model. Lineage: Bacteria; Pseudomonadati; Campylobacterota; Epsilonproteobacteria; Campylobacterales; Arcobacteraceae. The record is from RNAcentral.